UACGUAGGGGGCAAGCGUUGUCCGGAUUUAUUGGGCGUAAAGAGCGUGUAGGCGGCUUUACAGGUCCGUUGUGAAAACUCGAGGCUCAACCUCGAGACGCCGGUGGAAACCGUAAAGCUAGAGUCCGGAAGAGGAGAGUGGAAUUCCUGGUGUAGCGGUGAAAUGCGCAGAUAUCAGGAAGAACACCCGUGGCGAAGGCGGCUCUCUGGGACGGUACUGACGCUGAGACGCGAAAGCGCGGGGAGCGAACAGG
Molecule: ribosomal RNA, 253 nt
Filed under: uncultured bacterium
Lineage: Bacteria
Description: partial 16S ribosomal RNA
Rfam family: Bacterial small subunit ribosomal RNA
Source: RNAcentral